RNAcentral lists this transfer RNA (74 nucleotides) under Acholeplasmataceae bacterium. RNAcentral's name for it is "tRNA-Gly". It matches the Rfam family "tRNA". From Rfam's summary of the family: Transfer RNA (tRNA) molecules are approximately 80 nucleotides in length. The record is from RNAcentral. Lineage: Bacteria; Bacillati; Mycoplasmatota; Mollicutes; Acholeplasmatales; Acholeplasmataceae. RNAcentral also lists the same sequence under 2 other names.
GCGGGUGUAGUUUAAUGGUAAAACUACAGCCUUCCAAGCUGUUGACGUGAGUUCGAUUCUCAUCACCCGCUCCA